RNA transcript from Globicephala melas (long-finned pilot whale), 5968 nucleotides. It is a transcript of the gene named oligosaccharyltransferase complex subunit 4, non-catalytic, with no coding region annotated. Lineage: Eukaryota; Metazoa; Chordata; Mammalia; Artiodactyla; Delphinidae. The record is from RefSeq and is a predicted model, not a curated record.
AUGAUCACGGACGUGCAGCUCGCCAUCUUUGCCAACAUGCUGGGCGUGUCGCUCUUCCUGCUUGUCGUUCUCUAUCACUACGUGGCCGUCAACAAUCCCAAGAAGCAGGAAUGAAAGUGGCGCUUUCUCCGCCCCAGGUAACGGUACGGGGCUGUAGCGCCCAGCCCCAGAGAGGUUCCAGGACAUAGUCUGAGGCAAGAUGGAGGGUGUGAGGGGCCUUCACACUUCACUUCAUCCCUUGUACCCAUCACAACAUACAAAGCAACUACACCUGGAUUUUUCCAAACAACUUUAAUUUCCUCAAAGUCUUCCUUAACCUUAUGGAACAAGAAGCUGCCACUGAAUAGGGCCCAGCAUAGGGCUACUUUAUUUUCUACUCCCUCCCCCCAGUAUAAAAAUAUAGAUUUUUUUUGUGGUCCCAAAAUCGUGUGCUGUGGAGGGAGGGAAGGGGUGGCAGGUCCCUGCUUUGUCCUGUCUCAAGGUGAUGCUCUGCUGUGUCUCAGAACAGUGUGGCUGGCGUUCCAAGGAGUUAUAAUUGUCACAUGGAAUCAGGAGCUGAGAAAGGGGACUAGCACAUUUCUCACUGUGUUCCCCAUCUCCGGUUCAUGUGCUGGGCGUGAAGGUCAAGGCCUCAGACCCGAGGAGAAACAGUGAGUGGAGGAGAUUUAGGGACAAAACAAACCUCAGUUUGGCCCAAGGGCCCCCCACUGUAACAAAUCCGGGACUGGGAGUCAGACAGACUACGGGAAAUAGGAGAAAAGGCAGGGGCAGAGCAGGGCCGUGGGGGCCCAGCCUGAGGCAGCCUGCAACAGAGAAGAGAGAGGAGUCAGGGUUGUGAAAACUCCGCCCUUCUUCUGGUCUUUCAGCCAGGGGCUGGGAGGUGAGAGAGGCAAGGUGGGUGAGGAUAGGCAGGUUGAGCACUGCACAGUGGUCUGACAGGAAUGGUCUGACCAGCCUGCUCCUUAGGCCUAACUAGAAGUUGUUCUCUUGUCUGUUGGAGUGAAGACGGACAGCAUGAUGGGGAAAAAAGUCAGGGACUAGGUUCUUAAUGAAGGUACAUUUAGUCUUUCGGGGGUCAAAGGGAGAAGGGAAGGAAGAAAAUGAUCUUGAAUGGCAGAAAUGGGAAUAAGGGGAUAGAAGUGAGAGGUGGGGUGAAGCGUUGCACCCUGGUGCUCACCGUGGUAUGGAGCAGGGUCCCGGCUCUGGCUCACUGCUCUCCCUGCUCCGGGGGGUAGGGGACGUGGGGCCCGAAGAGCCUCUCAUCCCUCUGCGAGUCGGCGGUGAGCCCCGGCCCAACCUGGGCCUAGCCUGUGUGGACAGGGGGUAGGCUAUGAGGCUGGAUUCUUCCAUGAACUUUUUGCUUCUAGGUUUCCUUCUAGUAUCCACACGUAUGAGUGUAGUAUGGGUGUCAACACGGGUACUGGGACCUUGAGUUCCUGGGCACUGUUCCUAGCUGAGAAGGUAGGGCAGGAUAAUAGCUAGAAAACUCUUGGGUUCAGUCUAUGACUAUACAUUCCAAGCUUAACUAGGGGAGUCAGAAGGGUCCAGCAUUUAACCUUCAUGGCUAUACCACGGUCAAGAUCUGGCUGAGUAGAGAAGCACGGUGUGGAAAGAUGUUGGAGGAUUAGUGGGUCUGCCUCAGAGCCUUCAUUGCCUCAGCCCCUGCCAGAGCAGCUUAAGCUUCACCUGUUCAGUCAGCUUCUGCCUACACCUAACUUCAGUCAACCUAGCAUGGGGAUCUGGAGUGAAUCGGAGUUGGUGGCACAGCUGUUCCUAGGAGCAGCAACCAGAUGUGUUACCUGGGGAAUCCGGGACCCCUCCUGGCGGGAACUCUCCUCGGGCAGGUCUGGGCAGAAAGAGAGGAGAAGCUAAGGCAGGGGCAGGCAAAGCCAAAGCUAGCAGGCUGAGGUUAGGGUAUGUCUGGCAGGGAUACUGGGAUUGGAAGCAAGCAAGAGACCUGGCUGAAGGGGACGGGGGUGCAGCACCGGACAGACAGGCACUCAGGCAUCAGAGCAGCUCUCUGCUGUGGUUGUGGGGAGAGGGUGUAAAGCAGUGCUGGGCAUUUUCCCUCCCACUACCCAGGUGAACAGCGCCUUGCUGGGCUCUGCAAGAGUCGCUAUGCUGGGGACUGGGGAAGACCCAAAAACGUUACCUGUAGUCGGGUCCUGAUACAGGGGAUCCGAGGUCCAGCCCCUAGCAGGCCUUUCCCAAUCACCAUGACAGCCUCUGGUUUGUCCCCUGAGGGUAGGAAUGAGCAGCUACUCCCUAGGGAACAAAAGAAACUGAUAUCAGGAUGGGGCCACGGAGAAGAGGUAACUUCCUUUAGAUCAGAGUUUCUCAGUAUUGGCAAUAUUGACAUUUUGGGCUGGAUAAUUCUUUGUUGUGGGCGGCUGCCUUGUGUAUUUCAGGAUGUUUAGCAGCAUCUCUGGCCUCUGCUCAGCAGAUGCCAUUUCUUCCCCUGCCUCCUCCCCACUGUAACAACCAAACAUCUCCAGAAAAAUGUCCGCUGCCUGGCAAAAUCGCCGCUGGUUCAGAAGCACGUCACACUCUAGUCUGGUCCGAGGGGUAGAACAGUAACUUGAGCUUGAAUCAGAACCCACUCAACUGAACUACUAUGAAUUUAUAGACCUUAGAGUUAUCCCAGUCAUAUGUGUGAGCAUUUAAGGAUCAAGUCAUCAGUACCCAAGACUGGUGGAUUCAGGGCUACCUGUCGAAGAGAGUUAACAGGUUGGGAGUAGUGGGCUCUGAGGGAGGUAGGAGAUGUUAGGCUGAAGUUUUAGAAAUCAUCCCCAUCCAGUGCUUUACACGGCUGGGUCUAUAACUUAAAAGGAGAGCAGACGGUCUAGGCUCUUUGUGGAUGAUACGGUCACACAACAUUUGCGGUGGUGACAGGUGAAAGGCCUAUGCUUUUUUCAUUCUUCAGUUUUGUCUAAGUUGCCCAGCUCCUGGAGUCAGGGAGCUUGAAUAAAUAGCAGGUAGGAAAAGUCCUCAGGUUCCUCAACUGUAAAAAUAAGGAUUAAAUGAGAUAAUGUGCUUAGAGCAGUGCCUGCCACAUAGUAAACGCUCAGUAAGUGGUAACUGUUAUUUUAUUACACAAAGAUGUUCACUAAACUCCAGCCUCCUGUACAAGGGCAUUGAUGUUAGGGAUUUAGGAUAAUCCAGGAGGAUAACUGGUGCCCCUGGUCUGGAGUGGCCUGUAUUACAUCAAGUCAGGAAUGAGGUCCAGGUCACAUGGCAGCAGAGCUGAAAGGAUUUCUUCAAGCCUAGUCAGGAGUCUGGCCUAUGCCCUGGGAGGUAGGGAAGGAAGGAGGUUGGCCAACCCAGAUUUCAGGGGCGGUGGGUACAGACCUGAUAUGCCGAGUGAGUUGGGCAGUAGGCAGGAGCCCAUGUGUAAAGAGGCUGUGUUAGAACUAACAGGAGUUUGGGACGGGGCCGGGCUGCUUGAAGUAGGGUGAUGGGUCAGUGGCUGCUGCCGCCGUCUCCUGUCCUGGCUUCGGGGCUCUGAGUGGAAGGGACACAAGCAGAUAAAAGGGCAAAUAAGUGAGGCAUUGUCACUCCCCUGCCCCGUUGGCCUUCCCUUGUCAGCAGAUGCCUGUUUUCAAGCUUGUCAUCACACCAGCAUCCCUCUUCUGAAGUAAGUCUAAGAUGGGUAGAAAGAACUAAUAAUUUAUUCCAGCUCUCCAGUUUUCAUCCAGCCCUCAUCCUACUUCACCUCUCUGGAGCUAACCAGCCUACUCACCCACCAGUUCAUUCUUCUGGCAAAGAAGUUAUUGAGCUUGGCUUUCCUAGGUUCUCCUCUUCCCCCCUAACCGCCCCUUUUCAACUACUUGUCCUGCCCCUAAAUGUCAGUGUCCCCCACCAUUUUAGCCUUGGUUCUCUCCUGCUCUAUGUACUCAAAACUCCCAAGUCUCCCUCUUGCCCUUUUUUUCCUGAACUGCAGUUCUGAUUGUCUACUGAUCGUUCCUACCUGGCAGUCUCUCAUGACCCAAACAAAACUCAUUUUCUCCCCUCCUUCCUUUUGUUCUCCCUAUCUUGGUGAAAAAUCUGCUAGAAACCUUGUUUCCUCUUUCGACUCCUCCCUCACAUUUAGAUUUGUGUUUAACCCAAAUCUGGACAAUUCUCCCUCUGCCUUCACUGGAAUUCCUCCUUUAUUCACCCUUGCCAUUGCCAGCAUCCAGAUACAGGUCUUUAUCUCUCAUCCAGGCUUUUGAAAAAAAUUCCCCACUGGCCUCCCCAGCUUGAGUCUCUUCCCUUUUACAAUCCAUCCUUCACACAGAUGCCAGAAAUUCUUCUUCUAAAAUACAGACCUGAUCAAGUCAUUUUGGCUCAGGCAAGGGAGAGAUACUGAAGGUCUUUUAAAGGAUAAAGUCUAAACUUUUUAACGUGGCAUUCAGAGCCCCGCCCACUGUGGGUCCAGUCUACACAUCCUUAGUAGGAUGCUGACUUGAUCCUUCACACCCUCUGCUAUAGCCUCUAGGGCUACUAGCUAUGUGGUUCCUCUGCAAAGUCUGUUUCCUCUUCUAGUGAAACUUUGGACAUCUUAUAUGUCCGAUCUCAAAUGUCACCUCUAUGAAUCCUCGCUGACCAUUAACAGUAGGAUUAAUUCUUCUCUUUCAUUGUCCUUUGUUCACUUGGCUAGUAAUUUUUUAUGGUUUCUGUCUCCUUAACUAAAUAUCAGUACAUGUAAAGUACUUAAUACUGCCUGGCACAUGGUAAGUGCUCAAUAAAUGUUAGCUAAUAUUCUAAUUGGAACUUGAGUCUCUUGAGGGUAGGGACCUUGUCUUUUCUAAUACUGUACAUCCCAGUGCCUGUAAAGUACUGCCUGGAAAACCAGAGACCUUAAUAAACAUGUUGUUUACCCGGAUAGCAGACACCCACUGUAGACCGUAAGCUGGCUCAACAAUCCCUGUCUAAGGGCAUAUGGUUAUACUCUGUGGGGCAGCUCUCUUGGUCCCUUCUUUGUAGCUAGAGCCUCACUGCUACGGAUUCUGAAAGGUGGGGUCCCAGUGGGGUAGAUGGUGAGGUAGGGAGAUUCUCAGGCUUGGCAGGUCCUUCCUUAUCACAGGGGGACAGCAGGUACCAAAUGCUCUCAAACGGAAUGAGCUGUUAACCUUUGUGGAGCUGAAUUCGAUGGUAGUUCCAGAUGCCAGUUGACUUCUAACAAAGCAACAUGUGUUACAUGUGAAAAGGCCCUAAAGGGUGACAGUAACUUUACCUUGUCUAGCUACACUAGCAGUGACAAGGCUACUUCUGGAAGGUCCCAAACCAAAUUUAAAAAAACUGAUACUCGUAUGAAUAAGGACGAGAAGAAAGGGAGAGAUCUCAGGAUGGAAGCUACUCUAGCUUUGAGGAGUUUGCCGAGAUGCUGGGUACCAAUUAGAGUCUAAGACCACAGACAGGAGUCAAAAACAACCAGACCUAGUGAGACUUGGCACAGCGAUGCCAACAAAACAACCGAAGUCAGACUCAUGGCCACAGUCACAUAACUCGAAACAUUACCCACCACCAAUGACUUAGAGACACUGUAGAGCCUAGACCUGGGUAAUUCUUUGAUUAAAACAGGGAUGUCAAGAUGAUGUCAAGUGAUUGAUAGUGCACAGUAGGCAGAAAUAAUGAACUUUAAUGACAGAGGGGGAAAUAGCAGGAAAUAGAUGAUCUGAGAAAUAUCUAUACACAGAAGGAUGUUGAAACCAUGUUAAGGGAUGAAGCCUCACCCCACCCCAAGGAAGGAUAAGAGAGCAGGCUAGAAAUUGAGUGGAGGCCUCUGGGACAUUUGUAGGUUCUAGUAAGGAACUGAGUGGCACUUAAGAAGAUACCAACCGAGGGAGGGAGACGCAAGAGGGAAGAGAUAUGGGAACAUGUAUAUGUAUAACUGAUUCACUUUAUUAGAAAGCAGAAACUAACACACCAUUGUAAAGCAAUUAUACCCCAAUAAAGAUGUUAAAAAAAAAAAAGAUACAAAGCAAAA